GGUACAGUCCGUUCCGGUGACGGGCCGGAUGUCUGCGUGUUGUUGGUGGGGAAAUGGCGAGUUCGGGCGCGGCGGCGCCUGGGGCGGAUAGAGGCCCCGGUCCUGGUCGCUCCUCCGGAGAGAACGCUAGCCAAGACAGCACGUUCGAGUGCAACAUCUGUCUGGACACGGCCAAGGACGCAGUGAUCAGCCUCUGUGGUCACCUGUUCUGCUGGCCUUGUUUACAUCAGUGGUUGGAGACCAGACCUAAUCGACAGGUUUGCCCUGUAUGCAAAGCAGGCAUCAGUCGAGACAAAGUGAUUCCCCUUUAUGGAAGAGGAAGUACUGGUCAGCAGGAUCCCAGAGAGAAAACUCCACCAAGACCACAGGGACAGAGGCCUGAGCCAGAGAGCAGAGGGGGUUUCCAAGGUUUUGGGUUUGGAGAUGGAGGAUUCCAGAUGUCUUUCGGGAUUGGUGCAUUUCCGUUUGGAAUUUUUGCAACAGCUUUUAAUAUUAAUGAUGGCCGUCCACCACCAGCAGGGUGAGCAGAAGAGCAUCUCUGAACGCACAAGAUGUUGAACCUUGAAAUGGAUGGGCUUCAGCAGCAGAAGAGUACACCAGCAGUCCCUGGAACACCCCAACAUGUGGAUGAACAGUUCUUAUCUCGCCUCUUCCUCUUCGUGGCUCUUGUGAUAAUGUUUUGGCUCCUCAUUGCCUGAGGACAAACCGCAAUCCUUAACACGAGUCCCGUGUGUGGUCUGAAAUGUGGGCAAUGAACCAUCCCAGGAUUCUCUGUUUUUCUACCUUUGGAUACGUAUUAGGGGCAAAAAUUAUAUCAAAUAGAAACUAAAAUCAGCUUCUAAUGGGAUAGGUUUUAAUGAACUGUGAAUGAAUUUAAAAGGCUUCUUUUCUAGGGCUGUAAUUUUGUCGCAGUGUCUGUUUCAGUGAGGUUGAGUGGUGUGCCCACUUACUGGAGUGGUGUCUGUAAUCACUGCUGCACUGUCAUUGUGCAAAGGUGAGGGAAGCUGUUUGCUAAUAGAAGAAAUAGCCCUUGAGUGAAAGAGCCUGGAGAUUUAAGCAGCAUAUAUCAGACAGCUUGGUUGCUUAAAUCAUCUGAUGAAGGCAAGUGUGUAAACUCCACUCGACUUGAGCAGCAGUGCAAACUGGUGCUGAGAAACCCAUCUGCUGCUCAAUGGAAUAGAAAAUUUCCUACAAUACUAUUCAAAGAAAGACUGGGAAAUCUGUGAGAAACAUUACUCCUUUAUGUAAUGAUCAUUGUGGGAUCUCACAGGACCUGAACUGACUGGCACUUUUUUCUACAUAAUAUUGACUAUAGUUCAAAACAACUUCUUGGUUGUGAAGAUUUUUGUAAAUUGAGGGUGUUAAUAAUUGUAAUUUCCUUGUUUUGUUUCUUUUAAUUUCAGAUGUCAUGUUAUACAGUGACAAAAGGACUUGUUUUUCAUCUGCACACUUCCUGGUCACUCAGUAAUGGUCUACCUGGUUCUACACAUCCCUGCUGAGACACUAAUAUUGAGAGAAAUUUCUCAGUGACCAAUUACCUACUCCGGUGACUGUAAUAAUGGAUUUCCCUUUAACAAAGCUGUUCAUCAGCACUUUUUAUUAAUUAUUCAUGGGACCUGCACCUCGACAGCAAUUACCUGCCCCUUGAGCCAUUUCAGAAGACUCUUGACCACUUUAGUGAGUCUAGAAUUGUAGGUAGGGUAAAACAGCAAAUAUCUUUUGGACUCUCCCUGUAACUUGAGGAUCCAGGGUUCAGCUUGUUCUGAGACCCUGAGAAGACACUCUGAGAGUUGUUUAAAGGGACAGGUUAAGGCCAGGUUAAGUCAGUGAUCAGAGGCCCCACUACAGUUCAGUCCUGGGUGUAACAAGCUGCAGAAUGAAGUGGGCAGCCCUGCAACCAGAUAGAAGGAGUGAGUUAAUGAAGGAUAAAGACCAGGUUACUGGAUUGUGGGAAGGCUCUAGGAUUCUGUCUUAUGGCUCAGCUAGUUAGUGGAGCUGCUGGAAUUGAUGGGGAAUGCCUUUGCCUUGCCAGAUUGACAGUACUGGGAGAGAGUAACAGCUUUUUACAAAGACAGGUGGCUAUUAGAUGUAUCAAUGUAUUUUUAAUUUAAUAUUGUAUAUCUGGCUUUGUAUCAGAUGUCAAAUAAAUACAGAACAUAAAUCGA
Molecule: RNA transcript, 2165 nt
Organism: Hypanus sabinus (Atlantic stingray)
Lineage: Eukaryota; Metazoa; Chordata; Chondrichthyes; Myliobatiformes; Dasyatidae
Gene: rnf185
Gene name: ring finger protein 185
Exons: 7
Source: RefSeq, a predicted model, not a curated record